This is a transfer RNA of Camelus ferus (Wild Bactrian camel), 73 nucleotides long. It matches the Rfam family "tRNA". Rfam says of the family: Transfer RNA (tRNA) molecules are approximately 80 nucleotides in length. Their secondary structure includes four short double-helical elements and three loops (D, anti-codon, and T loops). Further hydrogen bonds mediate the characteristic L-shaped molecular structure. tRNAs have two regions of fundamental functional importance: the anti-codon, which is responsible for specific mRNA codon recognition, and the 3' end, to which the tRNAs corresponding amino acid is attached (by aminoacyl-tRNA synthetases). tRNAs cope with the degeneracy of the genetic code in two manners: having more than one tRNA (with a specific anti-codon) for a particular amino acid; and 'wobble' base-pairing, i.e. permitting non-standard base-pairing at the 3rd anti-codon position. The record is from Rfam. NCBI's taxonomy places the organism in Eukaryota, Metazoa, Chordata, Mammalia, Artiodactyla, Camelidae.
GAGGGUGUAGCUCAAGCAGUAGAGCACUUGCUUAGCAAGCACGAGGUCCUGGGUUCAAUCCCCGGCACCUCCU